AAUGGGCGMAAGCCUGACGGAGCAAGACCGCGUGCGGGAGGAAGGUUUAUGGACUGUAAACCUCUUUUGAUAGGGAAGAAGAUCUGACGGUACCUAUCGAAUCAGCAUCGGCUAACUCCGUGCCAGCAGCCGCGGUAAUACGGGGGAUGCAAGCGUUAUCCGGAAUUAUUGGGCGUAAAGCGUCCGUAGGUGGUUUUUCAAGUCUGUUGUCAAAUCGCGAAGCUUAACCUCGUACAGGCAGUGGAAACUAUAAGACUAGAGUGCGGUAGGGGUAGAGGGAAUUUCCAGUGUAGCGGUGAAAUGCGUAGAUAUUGGAAAGAACACCGGUGGCGAAGGCGCUCUACUGGGCCUGCACUGACACUGAUGGACGAAAGCUAGGGGAGCGAAAGGGAUUAGAUACCCC
RNAcentral lists this ribosomal RNA (403 nucleotides) under uncultured cyanobacterium. Its description in RNAcentral is "bacterial SSU rRNA". It matches the Rfam family "Bacterial small subunit ribosomal RNA", at positions 370 to 788 of the family's 1533-position model. Lineage: Bacteria; Bacillati; Cyanobacteriota. The record is from RNAcentral.